CUUCAUUAUACUGCCAAAAUUCUUUUAAAAUGUUAAAAUUUUUGAGUAAAAAGUAAAUUUUUGCAAUUGCAGAAAUCUAAAUACGAUAUUUUGGCCAUUUUGUUGUUUAGUAUUAAAUAUUAUUCACAAUUAAGGAGUUUGACAUAGAAAAAAAUUCGCUUUAUACUGAACUUUAAUAUUGUUUAUUAAGCUGCGACACCGUUUUGUAUGAUGUAUGAAAUUUUGGCGUGCUAUCGUGAACUUCAAUCCUAAAGUGUGGGCAGUGUCAUGCGGGGUAUAUUCUGAAUAAAUAGCUCGAUAACUCGAGCCCACGAUCAGCGAUACAAGUAGACGAUCACUCUGAAGAGUCAAUGGUCUUAGGAGGCGGUUCCGCCUCAAGCAAAUUACUGCAAGGAUGUUUUUUAAAAUAUCCCAACAGAAACUGCUUGGGGAAAAGUGCGUUAUGCUCCUUAACCGGAAGAAGAAUGCCAGCCUCACUAUGCAGUUGUUCGAUAGAGGACAUAAAAAGACAGCCUGUAAUAGUUCGCAGUGCGUUGCACUGACAUGUCUAAAUCUUAUCCAACUGCGACCCUGCCCUAGGUGCUGCUGACUAGACUAGCCAUUUGCAUGUGGACUGAAGGAGUACAGAUUGCUUUGUUGACUGUCGGAACUUUAGCGUCUGCGCCGAAAAUGUUGAGGUCUAUUCUACCUAUAUUCCUGCAUCCAGUUAGUAAAUAUAGUUGUGGAUUUAGCAAGUUAGAGCUCCUUGCAGUGAGGAUGUGAUAAUCUAACUCGAACGACUUUGAUCGAUGUACUUGCUCUACUUCUUAGCUGAAAUUGUUGCUUCAGCUAUUGAAAGGAUACAGGAAGGAGCGUGUCGGAUUACUUCAGUUCUAUCUAUAUUUUAAUCAGAUGGGAAUCGUUGAAUGAAAUGAAGUUGAGGUCUUUUAAAAGUCUAUUUUAUCACAAACACAUGGAGUGGCACAAAGAAUUCAGUGAAGGUCGUGAAGUCAUCGAAAAUUCGUCAUAUGCGAUUCGUUCUCCAAACUCUAUUCAUGACGAUAUCAUCGAAAAUGUUAAGGAAGUUGAAAAUCGUAGUGUUGGCAUUAGAGCGAUAGCAGAGGAUUUCAACAUCUCUUAUGGAUCGACUCAACACAUUUGGUUAAUGUUUUGGAUAUGAAACUUGUCAAUGUUAGAUUCGUAAUUAAGCAAUGACAGCCUUGUAUUGGCUUGAAAGCUGCUUAUUUUGAAAGCGACAACAAAUAUUUGUUUUAAAGUUUUUUGGCAGUCCGGAUAUAAUUUGUUAACUUGCAUAAGGAUAGUUAAAUUUAAAUAAUGCCAAAUGUAAAAUAAACCCGGUGGUCUGUUUAUUUAAGAAUACAA
This is a non-coding RNA of Bactrocera oleae (olive fruit fly), 1362 nucleotides long. Lineage: Eukaryota; Metazoa; Arthropoda; Insecta; Diptera; Tephritidae. The record is from RefSeq and is a predicted model, not a curated record.